GCGAGGAAUAUUGGUCAAUGGACGAGAGUCUGAACCAGCCAAGUCGCGUGAAGGAAGACGGUUCUAUGAAUAGUAAACUUCUUUUGUGCAGGAAUAAAGCGGGUUACGUGUAACCUUUUGUAUGUACUGUACGAAUAAGGAUCGGCUAACGCCGUGCCAGCAGCCGCGGUAAUACGGAGGAUCCGAGCGUUAUCCGGAUUUAUUGGGUUUAAAGGGUGCGUAGGUGGAUUGAUAAGUCAGCGGUGAAAGUUUGCAGCUUAACUGUAAAAUUGCCGUUGAAACUGUCGGUCUUGAGUGCAAAUGAGGUAGGCGGAAUGUGUUGUGUAGCGGUGAAAUGCUUAGAUAUAACACAGAACUCCGAUUGCGAAGGCAGCUUACUGGGAUGCAACUGACACUGAUGCACGAAAGCGUGGGUAUCAAACAGGAUUAGAAACCCGUGUAGUCC
Molecule: ribosomal RNA, 445 nt
Filed under: uncultured bacterium
Lineage: Bacteria
Description: partial 16S ribosomal RNA
Rfam family: Bacterial small subunit ribosomal RNA
Source: RNAcentral